Dipodomys ordii (Ord's kangaroo rat) is the source of this 135-nucleotide small nucleolar RNA. NCBI's taxonomy places the organism in Eukaryota, Metazoa, Chordata, Mammalia, Rodentia, Heteromyidae. The record is from Ensembl.
AGCACUAUAUUUAAACCGAUGAUGGGAUUUUCCCCAUUUUUGGUUACGCUGUAGUGCAAAAGAAUUCCUGGCUCUUCGUGUUGCACAGCUGUUAUAUGGCACUCAGUGGUUGCUGUAUAGAGUCAAGGAACAUGA